Molecule: non-coding RNA, 48 nt
Filed under: Schistosoma margrebowiei
Lineage: Eukaryota; Metazoa; Platyhelminthes; Trematoda; Strigeidida; Schistosomatidae
Source: RNAcentral
AUCCAACUGACGAGUUGCAAAUAGGAUGAAAUGGCGCGCAUCCUGGAU